Molecule: ribosomal RNA, 468 nt
Filed under: uncultured bacterium
Lineage: Bacteria
Description: partial 16S ribosomal RNA
Rfam family: Bacterial small subunit ribosomal RNA
Source: RNAcentral
GACGAACGCUGGCGGCGUGCUUAACACAUGCAAGUCGAACGGAAAGGCCCUGCUUUUGUGGGGUGCUCGAGUGGCGAACGGGUGAGUAAUACGUGAGUAACCUGCCCUUGACUUUGGGAUAACUUCAGGAAACUGGGGCUAAUACCGGAUAGGAGCUCCUGCUGCAUGGUGGGGGUCGGAAAGUUUCGGCGGUUGGGGAUGGACUCGCGGCUUAUCAGCUUGUUGGUGGGGUAGUGGCUUACCAAGGCUUUGACGGGUAGCCGGCCUGAGAGGGUGACCGGCCACAUUGGGACUGAGAUACGGCCCAGACUCCUACGGGAGGCAGCAGUGGGGAAUAUUGCACAAUGGGCGGAAGCCUGAUGCAGCAACGCCGCGUGCGGGAUGACGGCCUUCGGGUUGUAAACCGCUUUCGCCUGUGACGAAGCGUGAGUGACGGUAAUGGGUAAAGAAGCACCGGCUAACUACGUG